UUAAGCGACUAAGCGUACACGGUGGAUGCCCUGGCAGUCAGAGGCGAUGAAGGACGUGCUAAUCUGCGAUAAGCGUCGGUAAGGUGAUAUGAACCGUUAUAACCGGCGAUUUCCGAAUGGGGAAACCCAGUGUGUUUCGACACACUAUCAUUAACUGAAUCCAUAGGUUAAUGAGGCGAACCGGGGGAACUGAAACAUCUAAGUACCCCGAGGAAAAGAAAUCAACCGAGAUUCCCCCAGUAGCGGCGAGCGAACGGGGAGGAGCCCAGAGCCUGAAUCAGUGUGUGUGUUAGUGGAAGCGUCUGGAAAGGCGCGCGAUACAGGGUGACAGCCCCGUACACAAAAAUGCACAUGCUGUGAGCUCGAUGAGUAGGGCGGGACACGUGGUAUCCUGUCUGAAUAUGGGGGGACCAUCCUCCAAGGCUAAAUACUCCUGACUGACCGAUAGUGAACCAGUACCGUGAGGGAAAGGCGAAAAGAACCCCGGCGAGGGGAGUGAAAAAGAACCUGAAACCGUGUACGUACAAGCAGUGGGAGCACGCUUAGGCGUGUGACUGCGUACCUUUUGUAUAAUGGGUCAGCGACUUAUAUUCUGUAGCAAGGUUAACCGAAUAGGGGAGCCGAAGGGAAACCGAGUCUUAACUGGGCGUUAAGUUGCAGGGUAUAGACCCGAAACCCGGUGAUCUAGCCAUGGGCAGGUUGAAGGUUGGGUAACACUAACUGGAGGACCGAACCGACUAAUGUUGAAAAAUUAGCGGAUGACUUGUGGCUGGGGGUGAAAGGCCAAUCAAACCGGGAGAUAGCUGGUUCUCCCCGAAAGCUAUUUAGGUAGCGCCUCGUGAAUUCAUCUCCGGGGGUAGAGCACUGUUUCGGCAAGGGGGUCAUCCCGACUUACCAACCCGAUGCAAACUGCGAAUACCGGAGAAUGUUAUCACGGGAGACACACGGCGGGUGCUAACGUCCGUCGUGAAGAGGGAAACAACCCAGACCGCCAGCUAAGGUCCCAAAGUCAUGGUUAAGUGGGAAACGAUGUGGGAAGGCCCAGACAGCCAGGAUGUUGGCUUAGAAGCAGCCAUCAUUUAAAGAAAGCGUAAUAGCUCACUGGUCGAGUCGGCCUGCGCGGAAGAUGUAACGGGGCUAAACCAUGCACCGAAGCUGCGGCAGCGACGCUUAUGCGUUGUUGGGUAGGGGAGCGUUCUGUAAGCCUGUGAAGGUGUACUGUGAGGUAUGCUGGAGGUAUCAGAAGUGCGAAUGCUGACAUAAGUAACGAUAAAGCGGGUGAAAAGCCCGCUCGCCGGAAGACCAAGGGUUCCUGUCCAACGUUAAUCGGGGCAGGGUGAGUCGACCCCUAAGGCGAGGCCGAAAGGCGUAGUCGAUGGGAAACAGGUUAAUAUUCCUGUACUUGGUGUUACUGCGAAGGGGGGACGGAGAAGGCUAUGUUGGCCGGGCGACGGUUGUCCCGGUUUAAGCGUGUAGGCUGGUUUUCCAGGCAAAUCCGGAAAAUCAAGGCUGAGGCGUGAUGACGAGGCACUACGGUGCUGAAGCAACAAAUGCCCUGCUUCCAGGAAAAGCCUCUAAGCAUCAGGUAACAUCAAAUCGUACCCCAAACCGACACAGGUGGUCAGGUAGAGAAUACCAAGGCGCUUGAGAGAACUCGGGUGAAGGAACUAGGCAAAAUGGUGCCGUAACUUCGGGAGAAGGCACGCUGAUAUGUAGGUGAAGUCCCUCGCGGAUGGAGCUGAAAUCAGUCGAAGAUACCAGCUGGCUGCAACUGUUUAUUAAAAACACAGCACUGUGCAAACACGAAAGUGGACGUAUACGGUGUGACGCCUGCCCGGUGCCGGAAGGUUAAUUGAUGGGGUUAGCGCAAGCGAAGCUCUUGAUCGAAGCCCCGGUAAACGGCGGCCGUAACUAUAACGGUCCUAAGGUAGCGAAAUUCCUUGUCGGGUAAGUUCCGACCUGCACGAAUGGCGUAAUGAUGGCCAGGCUGUCUCCACCCGAGACUCAGUGAAAUUGAACUCGCUGUGAAGAUGCAGUGUACCCGCGGCAAGACGGAAAGACCCCGUGAACCUUUACUAUAGCUUGACACUGAACAUUGAGCCUUGAUGUGUAGGAUAGGUGGGAGGCUUUGAAGUGUGGACGCCAGUCUGCAUGGAGCCGACCUUGAAAUACCACCCUUUAAUGUUUGAUGUUCUAACGUUGACCCGUAAUCCGGGUUGCGGACAGUGUCUGGUGGGUAGUUUGACUGGGGCGGUCUCCUCCUAAAGAGUAACGGAGGAGCACGAAGGUUGGCUAAUCCUGGUCGGACAUCAGGAGGUUAGUGCAAUGGCAUAAGCCAGCUUGACUGCGAGCGUGACGGCGCGAGCAGGUGCGAAAGCAGGUCAUAGUGAUCCGGUGGUUCUGAAUGGAAGGGCCAUCGCUCAACGGAUAAAAGGUACUCCGGGGAUAACAGGCUGAUACCGCCCAAGAGUUCAUAUCGACGGCGGUGUUUGGCACCUCGAUGUCGGCUCAUCACAUCCUGGGGCUGAAGUAGGUCCCAAGGGUAUGGCUGUUCGCCAUUUAAAGUGGUACGCGAGCUGGGUUUAGAACGUCGUGAGACAGUUCGGUCCCUAUCUGCCGUGGGCGCUGGAGAACUGAGGGGGGCUGCUCCUAGUACGAGAGGACCGGAGUGGACGCAUCACUGGUGUUCGGGUUGUCAUGCCAAUGGCACUGCCCGGUAGCUAAAUGCGGAAGAGAUAAGUGCUGAAAGCAUCUAAGCACGAAACUUGCCCCGAGAUGAGUUCUCCCUGACUCCUUGAGAGUCCUGAAGGAACGUUGAAGACGACGACGUUGAUAGGCCGGGUGUGUAAGCGCAGCGAUGCGUUGAGCUAACCGGUACUAAUGAACCGUGAGGCUUAACCUU
Molecule: ribosomal RNA, 2902 nt
Rfam family: Bacterial large subunit ribosomal RNA